RNAcentral lists this long non-coding RNA (228 nucleotides) under Eucalyptus grandis. RNAcentral describes it as "long non-coding RNA (EGRA_LNC007074)". Lineage: Eukaryota; Viridiplantae; Streptophyta; Magnoliopsida; Myrtales; Myrtaceae. The record is from RNAcentral.
GGCUCAGAUCUGCCGAAGUCGAGCGCUCAAGCAGGCAGAUCAAGACAGUGGCUGUGGUGUCAUCUAUUGGGCGCGGAUCGGCAGCACUCGGAGCAGGGGCACGCGGUGAUUGGUGGCUGGGCGCGGGCUGUGCGGGGCGCAGGAGCAGCAGCAAUGGCGUGGAGACGAUGACCGACAGGUGGUGGAGCGGCGGCUUUGGGCGCGGGGGCUCGCGGACGAGCGUUGCAG